RNAcentral lists this ribosomal RNA (468 nucleotides) under uncultured bacterium. RNAcentral's name for it is "partial 16S ribosomal RNA". It matches the Rfam family "Bacterial small subunit ribosomal RNA", at positions 28 to 507 of the family's 1533-position model. The record is from RNAcentral.
GAUGAACGCUGGCGGCGUGCUUAACACAUGCAAGUCGAACGGUGAAGGCGGAGCUUGCUCUGCUGGAUCAGUGGCGAACGGGUGAGUAACACGUGAGCAAUCUGCCCCUGACUCUGGGAUAAGCGCUGGAAACGGCGUCUAAUACUGGAUACGAGCUGCGAAGGCAUCUUCAGCAGCUGGAAAGAACUUCGGUCAGGGAUGAGCUCGCGGCCUAUCAGCUUGUUGGUGAGGUAACGGCUCACCAAGGCGUCGACGGGUAGCCGGCCUGAGAGGGUGACCGGCCACACUGGGACUGAGACACGGCCCAGACUCCUACGGGAGGCAGCAGUGGGGAAUAUUCCACAAUGGGCGAAAGCCUGAUGCAGCAACGCCGCGUGAGGGACGACGGCCUUCGGGUUGUAAACCUCUUUUAGCAGGGAAGAAGCGAAAGUGACGGUACCUGCAGAAAAAGCGCCGGCUAACUACGUG